Molecule: ribosomal RNA, 1468 nt
Filed under: Escherichia coli
Lineage: Bacteria; Pseudomonadati; Pseudomonadota; Gammaproteobacteria; Enterobacterales; Enterobacteriaceae
Description: partial 23S ribosomal RNA
Rfam family: Bacterial large subunit ribosomal RNA
Source: RNAcentral
GGGACACGUGGUAUCCUGUCUGAAUAUGGGGGGACCAUCCUCCAAGGCUAAAUACUCCUGACUGACCGAUAGUGAACCAGUACCGUGAGGGAAAGGCGAAAAGAACCCCGGCGAGGGGAGUGAAAAAGAACCUGAAACCGUGUACGUACAAGCAGUGGGAGCACGCUUAGGCGUGUGACUGCGUACCUUUUGUAUAAUGGGUCAGCGACUUAUAUUCUGUAGCAAGGUUAACCGAAUAGGGGAGCCGAAGGGAAACCGAGUCUUAACUGGGCGUUAAGUUGCAGGGUAUAGACCCGAAACCCGGUGAUCUAGCCAUGGGCAGGUUGAAGGUUGGGUAACACUAACUGGAGGACCGAACCGACUAAUGUUGAAAAAUUAGCGGAUGACUUGUGGCUGGGGGUGAAAGGCCAAUCAAACCGGGAGAUAGCUGGUUCUCCCCGAAAGCUAUUUAGGUAGCGCCUCGUGAAUUCAUCUCCGGGGGUAGAGCACUGUUUCGGCAAGGGGGUCAUCCCGACUUACCAACCCGAUGCAAACUGCGAAUACCGGAGAAUGUUAUCACGGGAGACACACGGCGGGUGCUAACGUCCGUCGUGAAGAGGGAAACAACCCAGACCGCCAGCUAAGGUCCCAAAGUCAUGGUUAAGUGGGAAACGAUGUGGGAAGGCCCAGACAGCCAGGAUGUUGGCUUAGAAGCAGCCAUCAUUUAAAGAAAGCGUAAUAGCUCACUGGUCGAGUCGGCCUGCGCGGAAGAUGUAACGGGGCUAAACCAUGCACCGAAGCUGCGGCAGCGACACUAUGUGUUGUUGGGUAGGGGAGCGUUCUGUAAGCCUGUGAAGGUGUGCUGUGAGGCAUGCUGGAGGUAUCAGAAGUGCGAAUGCUGACAUAAGUAACGAUAAAGCGGGUGAAAAGCCCGCUCGCCGGAAGACCAAGGGUUCCUGUCCAACGUUAAUCGGGGCAGGGUGAGUCGACCCCUAAGGCGAGGCCGAAAGGCGUAGUCGAUGGGAAACAGGUUAAUAUUCCUGUACUUGGUGUUACUGCGAAGGGGGGACGGAGAAGGCUAUGUUGGCCGGGCGACGGUUGUCCCGGUUUAAGCGUGUAGGCUGGUUUUCCAGGCAAAUCCGGAAAAUCAAGGCUGAGGCGUGAUGACGAGGCACUACGGUGCUGAAGCAACAAAUGCCCUGCUUCCAGGAAAAGCCUCUAAGCAUCAGGUAACAUCAAAUCGUACCCCAAACCGACACAGGUGGUCAGGUAGAGAAUACCAAGGCGCUUGAGAGAACUCGGGUGAAGGAACUAGGCAAAAUGGUGCCGUAACUUCGGGAGAAGGCACGCUGAUAUGUAGGUGAAGUCCCUCGCGGAUGGAGCUGAAAUCAGUCGAAGAUACCAGCUGGCUGCAACUGUUUAUUAAAAACACAGCACUGUGCAAACACGAAAGUGGACGUAUACGGUGUGACGCCUGCCCGGUGCCGGA